CAUCAACGUCGAGGAUGGCAAUGUUCUGGGCACCGUCACCGUUUCCAUGGAGCGGCCAAACAUAUACGAGCACGAAGUUGGCGAACGGAAGACCGUCAGGCAGGAGUGGAAUUAUCCCAAACUAUAUUCAAUCAACGAGCCGAUAACGAUCUUGGAUAAUAGAAACUUGGAGGGAAAUAAUCAACAGCCGAAAACUGCUAUCCGAGAGCCCGACAUCAAUCAACAGGCUAGAACAAUUUCAAAAUUGGUUGACGGAAGUAAUCCGGCACACGGGCAAUCAUUGAAAAAUUGAUGAAUAUAGUUAAUGCAAUCUAAUGGAAGAAUGAUCAACCACACUCUGGAAUACAUCCAUGAACAAGAAGGUAGAAGGGGACAUCUAAAAAGAUAAGUAUAAUUUCAAUUGUUUAAUUGCUUUAAAGGUGAAACGUAUUUGGUACAGACUGACCUGUUUGUUAGACAUUUCGGUUAUACUAUGUUCGCAUUAGGGCAUUGUAACAUGUUAUUCGGCUAUCUUGAUGAGCUUUCUUUUGUCGAUAAUUUGAAUAACAUGUUAUUCAGGUCGUAGUGCGAGCAUGGUAUUAGUUCAAGCACGCUUAAAGGAUUUUUUGUGAUUGUUCACAUACUUUAUAUUCAGCAUUAUCACAAUAGAUCUAAAUAAAUGGUCGCAAUGAUUGAAAUACCCAACAAGGAAAACACAGCAUUGCCCGCUUCUAUGCGAAUAUUAAACAACCUAAGGCUAAAAGAUUAAGCUUAAGCGGAAAUUUUACCGAGGCAUACAAUCAUAAAUUGUGGGACAAAACUUAUCGUGUUUAGAUUUUUUAAUUUAAGGUGGCAUCCCGAGCAAAGCUUGAAAAUCGAUAACUUGAUUUUGAUUACUCAGGUUGAUUAUUAUUUUGGUUGUUUUAACGAUUAAAAUAACAAAAUCUUACUGCGAGAUCAAAUUGAAAACUAUUUCUAAACUGCAAAUUGAAAACUGAUUUUGAUAUUGGUUUUUGAUAACGAAAUAUGAGUUCAUAUAAUUUGAAAAUAAACUGCAAACAGAAAUCAAAAUAAGUAAUCAAUCACGGAGACCAAAAUUUAAAAAGAAAUUAUGAUUUCAAUUUGAUGUCUUUACCAAAAUAUAUUUUCUAUUUGACCUCAUUAUUAUGUCCGACUUUGCCCGGGAUGUGCAUUAAAAGGCAGUAAUUAUGAAGAAAUACUAAUCCUUUUUUUCUUUUCUAUUUUAGUCCUCAUCGCCAACAUCAUGACAUCCUUAGACAUUGACAUGCUUAGAGCUCGAAUUCUCGGUUAGAACGCACUUUUUAAAACCAGCCAUAUGCUAUAGCUACUUAUACCUCAAACAUGACGAUUUAGUUGAUGAAGAAGUACCGCGAAGCUGCCAUUAGUAAAUGAUACCAAAUUUUCAAAACGACUUAUCCUCGGACUUAUCUGCGUCGAAUCUGAUAGCACUUUCAUGCAAACCAACGCACCAUCAACAUGUAGCAGAAACCCGCAACUAUGUAUUUAGGACGUAUGACUCUUUGUUUACAAAAUCAGAUAAGUAGUUUUGAAAAUUUGGUAUGUAAUAGUUUAAUUUUGAAAACCUGUUGAUUAUUUUUUCGGAGCUACAACAUAUUUCUUUUAACAUAAUUUUGAUGAUGUUUGGCAGUUAGCUUACUAUGGCAACAUAGUAAAAUCAUGUUUGGGGUGUUCAAUAAAAUGAUUUUAUAAUAUAUAAUACAUAAAAAACCAAAUUGAAGCUAUUCACUUAGAGAUAUAGGACAGAGAAUAACGACUGUUAGAAAACGUGUUUGCUUUUAUUCUUGAUAGCAAUUUUGAUUGUUAUUAAAAACUCAUUGAAAUUUCAUUAGGAAAACAUUGAGAAAAAAACAUAUAAAUCAAUUUAUUAAUGUGUUGAAGUAUAUAGCUCGUUCACUCGCUCAUUCAUUCAAAUGAUAAAAAUGUUCUAGUAUUUUUACAAGCUUAGUUGAUGUAGUUUUUACUUAUACUAGAGACAGACUGGUGGUAUUUGUACCACGAUUCAUGGGUAUUAUCUUGAAAGCUUGAUACAUGUGAAUGAGUGAGUCACAUGCAUUUAAAAGUCACCAACACGCUCUGCAUCUCACUGGACUGGAAAUAGUAAUUUAUUGGAGAGGUGAAUUGUGUAGGGAUCCUGAAAGAUGAAGCAAAAGUGCUCGAUAAAGCCUAGCAGAUAGUAUAUAGUUUUAGCUUUGUGAAUGAUUGUGUUAUAGUUUCGUUAUAAUAAGUUUCGAGUCUGAAAUUGACCAACUGAGUCAGUUAUUUGGCAACAAGACAAGACUGUAUGACUUUUUUUUAGUUUAGAUGUUCAGAUGUUUAAGUCAAGAAUAGAGGUAAUAAACUAUAGAGGAAGAUUGUCAGUUCCCUUUGUUCUAGUAACCAGCAUGUUGGGUAUCUGAACGACCUGAUUUUUCCUUCGUUGACGCCUUAACCUUCGAGCGCCCUAACCACACCAGCAAAAGAUGUUUUGCAAGUGAUGACUGCGACAAUCUUCCUCUAUAGUGUAUUGCCUCUAUUAAGUCAAGUGAUUUGCUCAAUUUAUAUGCAUAACUAAACCUUGACAAGUAUGACUUAUUUUAUCUUAACGCAGUGUAAUUUGGUACAUUUUGUAUUUAUAGUAAUUUGAAAAGAUGAUUAAUUAAUAAAUUGUAUCUCCUGGUUUAAAAAAAAAUAGUAAAGCGUUAUUCUUUUUGUAUUCAC
This is a long non-coding RNA of Armigeres subalbatus, 2718 nucleotides long. RefSeq lists it as uncharacterized. The transcript is spliced from 3 exons. Lineage: Eukaryota; Metazoa; Arthropoda; Insecta; Diptera; Culicidae. The record is from RefSeq and is a predicted model, not a curated record.